Molecule: non-coding RNA, 109 nt
Organism: Zea mays
Lineage: Eukaryota; Viridiplantae; Streptophyta; Magnoliopsida; Poales; Poaceae
Source: Rfam
ACUCUAGUAUUGACUCUGAUCCAUAUGUAUUGAGAUGGAUUGGAGUGUAACUUAAACUAAUAUACACUCCAAUCCACCUCAACACAUGUGUAUUGGGGUCAAUACUAGA